This 290-nucleotide long non-coding RNA is filed under the name Ananas comosus (pineapple). RNAcentral describes it as "long non-coding RNA (ACOM_LNC038765)". Lineage: Eukaryota; Viridiplantae; Streptophyta; Magnoliopsida; Poales; Bromeliaceae. The record is from RNAcentral.
UACUCUCAAAAUGUAUAAACCAAAAGUACAGGGUAGAGCUAAUGCAAGUAGGGAAGGUAAAGCUAUCAACCAACUGCUAGGGCGCUAUGCCCUUGCCGCGAUCCAUCGACGAAGGCCCGCUGUCCUGUGUACCUGUACCCCCAGAGCCACACGGGGGUGAGAACUACGAAUAGUUCCCAGUGGGUUCGGCCGCCGACUCCGCCGAUCUACCCACUAGGUCUCAAGCAGGCAUAGAGAGAUAUAUAUAUGCAAUAUAUAUAAAGCUAAGCUGAACGGAAGCAGGUAUGUAA